Molecule: ribosomal RNA, 253 nt
Filed under: uncultured bacterium
Lineage: Bacteria
Description: partial 16S ribosomal RNA
Rfam family: Bacterial small subunit ribosomal RNA
Source: RNAcentral
UACGAACUGUGCAAACGUUAUUCGGAUUCACUGGGCUUAAAGGGUGCGUAGGCGGCCAUGUAAGUAGGGUGUGAAAUCCCCCGGCUUAACCGGGGAACUGCGCCCUAAACUGUGUGGCUUGAGUGAGAUAGGGGUGUGUGGAACUUCCGGUGGAGCGGUGAAAUGUGUUGAUAUCGGAAGGAACGCCAGUGGCGAAAGCGACACACUGGGUCUCAACUGACGCUGAGGCACGAAAGCCAGGGGAGCGAACGGG